This 643-nucleotide ribosomal RNA is filed under the name uncultured bacterium. RNAcentral describes it as "bacterial SSU rRNA". It matches the Rfam family "Bacterial small subunit ribosomal RNA", at positions 232 to 885 of the family's 1533-position model. The record is from RNAcentral.
CGCGGCCUAUCAGCUUGUUGGUGGGGUAAUGGCCUACCAAGGCGACGACGGGUAGCCGGCCUGAGAGGGCGACCGGCCACACUGGGACUGAGACACGGCCCAGACUCCUACGGGAGGCAGCAGUGGGGAAUAUUGCACAAUGGGCGAAAGCCUGAUGCAGCGACGCCGCGUGAGGGAUGACGGCCUUCGGGUUGUAAACCUCUUUCAGCAGGGACGAAGCGUAAGUGACGGUACCUGCAGAAGAAGCGCCGGCCGACUACGUGCCAGCAGCCGCGGUAAGACGUAGGGCGCGAGCGUUGUCCGGAUUUAUUGGGCGUAAAGAGCUCGUAGGCGGCUUGUCGCGUCGACUGUGAAAACCCGCAGCUCAACUGCGGGCCUGCAGUCGAUACGGGCAGGCUAGAGUUCGGUAGGGGAGACUGGAAUUCCUGGUGUAGCGGUGGAAUGCGCAGAUAUCAGGAGGAACACCGGUGGCGAAGGCGGGUCUCUGGGCCGAUACUGACGCUGAGGAGCGAAAGCGUGGGGAGCGAACAGGAUUAGAUACCCUGGUAGUCCACGCUGUAAACGUUGGGCGCUAGGUGUGGGGGACCUCUCCGGUUCUCUGCGCCGCAGCUAACGCAUUAAGCGCCCCGCCUGGGGAGUACGG